UAUACUGACGCUGAUGGACGAAAGCGUAGGUAGCGAACAGGAUUAGAUACCCUGGUAGUCCACGCUGUAAACGAUGUCAACUAGCCGUUGGGACACUUGAUGUCUUAGUGGCGCAGCUACCGCGAUAAGUUGACCGCCUGGGGAGUACGGUCGCAAGAUUAAAACUCAAAUGAAUUGACGGGGGCCCGCACAAGCGGUGGAGCAUGUGGUUUAAUUCGACGCAACGCGAAGAACCUUACCUACUCUUGACAUCUAGCGAACUUAGCAGAGAUGCUUUGGUGCCUUCGGGAACGCUAAGACAGGUGCUGCAUGGCUGUCGUCAGCUCGUGUUGUGAAAUGUUGGGUUAAGUCCCGCAACGAGCGCAACCCUUAUCCUUAGUUGCCAGCACAUAAUGGUGGGAACUCUAGGGAGACUGCCGGUGAUAAACCGGAGGAAGGUGGGGACGACGUCAAGUCAUCAUGGCCCUUACGAGUAGGGCUACACACGUGCUACAAUGGUAUGUACAGAGGGAGGCAAGCUGGCGACAGUGAGCGGAUCUCAUAAAGCAUAUCGUAGUCCGGAUCGCAGUCUGCAACUCGACUGCGUGAAGUCGGAAUCGCUAGUAAUCGCAAAUCAGAAUGUUGCGGUGAAUACGUUCCCGGGCCUUGUACACACCGCCCGUCACACCAUGGGAGUGGGUUGCAAAAGAAGUAGGUAGCUUAACCUUCGGGAGGGCGCUUACCACUUUGUGAUUCAUGACUGGGGUGAAGUCGUAACAAGGUACCCGU
RNAcentral lists this ribosomal RNA (768 nucleotides) under uncultured bacterium. RNAcentral describes it as "bacterial SSU rRNA". It matches the Rfam family "Bacterial small subunit ribosomal RNA", at positions 736 to 1503 of the family's 1533-position model. The record is from RNAcentral.